RNAcentral lists this long non-coding RNA (474 nucleotides) under Homo sapiens (human). Its description in RNAcentral is "HSALNT0364324". Lineage: Eukaryota; Metazoa; Chordata; Mammalia; Primates; Hominidae. The record is from RNAcentral.
CUUCUCUUGUCUGUCACCACGUGAGAUGUGCUUUUCACCUUCCACCAUGAUUGUGGGGCCUCCCCAGCCACAUUGAAAUGCAUUUAUGAAGUAGGGACCUGGAAUUGAAGAGACUCCUAAAGGAGAGACAGAAGUUUGAAAGAGCAAGAAGAGUGGAUGUGGAUCCAGACAGAAAAAGAGAACAGCAAAUAUUUGAAAGAGCUUAAGACGUACUCCUCAAGGUUGAAGAACUCACUUUGGCAUUUCUUGUAAGAUGGUUCUGGUGGUACCACAGAUAGAAGCCUUGAGAAGCUUACUUUGGUCAGAAAUUUUGCCUUUGUCUGCAGGCUUCUACCAGUUCGAUUCCAUCUGUGGGUCUUAGGUUUCAGUUACCUGAAGUCAAAUGUGGUCCAAUACACAGACUGGAAUAAGAGACAUUGGAGACUCCAAAAGAAUAUUUUCUGGUAGACUGAUAUAUUUCUCCUAAAAAAUUUG